GAAUAUAUACAUCGUAAUUGGUAACUUGAUGGCUGUUGCUUUCCUGUAUUAAUGGCUGGGUGUCUUGUUGAACUGGUACACUUUGGAAGUACUACAUAUUUCUAGAAAAAUAAAAUUAUAUUUAAUAAAUAUUUAUUCAGUUUUUAACACAUAAAUAAAAUAUAAUACAAUAAGACUUAUUUCUUGACUUAAGUUGGUAGGAUUAAAAACAUGCUGUAUAUAUUGUUGCAAACUAAAUAAAUCAAUCUAUUAUAGAGCUACACCAGAUUCUUGCUGUUAAAUGUUAUACUUUCUUUAUGUCAUUGGCAUUAAUUGCAACAAAUACCAACAAUGCAAAAACAAGAUACAAAUUGUGCAUUGACCAGUAUUUAAACAGUGUACUGCAUUGACUAAUAAAAAAGUUAUCUGAUAAACUUAUCUGGUAGUAAUUCACUCUGUCUAACAUAGUUCGGAAAGGGUCUGUAUUAUAUCUCCUAUUUUAUAAAUAUUCCCCCUAUUACAGACUUUUAAUAACCUCUUUCAGAGAGCAAAAUUUGACAUUUGGACUUGUAGUUUAAUUAAAAACCACUUGUUCUGUAAUUUCUACGAUGGUUUUCUUAUCACGCCCCUCUUUAAUUAACACAUCCUCUUUUAGUAAUCCCCCUCCCCAUCAUUACAAACAAAAUCAAACACUUUAAUUUUAUCAAGGUUUAUCCUCUUGAAGCAAGGAGGUUUUAAACUAUGUCUAAUCAAGGAUGGAUCCAGCAUGAUCUAGU
Molecule: non-coding RNA, 755 nt
Organism: Paramuricea clavata
Lineage: Eukaryota; Metazoa; Cnidaria; Anthozoa; Malacalcyonacea; Plexauridae
Source: the annotation of a GenBank genome assembly